RNAcentral lists this ribosomal RNA (253 nucleotides) under uncultured bacterium. RNAcentral's name for it is "partial 16S ribosomal RNA". It matches the Rfam family "Bacterial small subunit ribosomal RNA", at positions 524 to 776 of the family's 1533-position model. The record is from RNAcentral.
AACGUAGGUGGCGAGCGUUAUCCGGAUUUACUGGGCGUAAAGGGUGUGUAGGCGGAAGUCCAAGUGGUGUAUGAAAGCUCCCGGCUUAACCGGGAAGGGUUAUGCCAGACUGGACAUCUAGAGUGUGGGAGAGGGACGUGGAAUUCCGGGUGUAGUGGUAAAAUGCGUAGAGAUCCGGAGGAACACCAGAGGCGGAGGCGACACGCUGGGCCGUACCUGACACUGAUGCGCGACAGCAUGGGGAGCAAACAGG